RNAcentral lists this ribosomal RNA (452 nucleotides) under uncultured bacterium. RNAcentral's name for it is "bacterial SSU rRNA". It matches the Rfam family "Bacterial small subunit ribosomal RNA", at positions 354 to 796 of the family's 1533-position model. The record is from RNAcentral.
GUGGGGAAUUUUGCGCAAUGGGCGAAAGCCUGACGCAGCAACGCCGCGUGGAGGAUGAAGGUGCUCUGCAUCGUAAACUCCUGUCGCCCGGGACGAACCGGUGGGGGGUGAACAGCCCCCCGCCCUGACUGUACCGGGAGAGGAAGCCCCGGCUAACUCCGUGCCAGCAGCCGCGGUAAUACGGAGGGGGCUAGCGUUACUCGGAAUUAUUGGGCGUAAAGGGCGCGUAGGCGGUCCUGUGCGUCGGAGGUGAAAUCCCCGGGCUCAACCCGGGAGCUGCCUCCGAUACGGCGGGACUGGAGUCCGGGAGAGGGGAGUGGAAUUCCCAGUGUAGCGGUGAAAUGCGUAGAUAUUGGGAGGAACACCGGUGGCGAAGGCGGCUCCCUGGACCGGUACUGACGCUGAGGCGCGAAAGCAUGGGGAGCAAACAGGAUUAGAUACCCGAGUAGUCC